GACGAACGCUGGCGGCGUGCUUAACACAUGCAAGUCGAACGGAAAGGCCCUGCUUUUGUGGGGUGCUCGAGUGGCGAACGGGUGAGUAACACGUGAGUAACCUGCCCUUGACUUUGGGAUAACUUCAGGAAACUGGGGCUAAUACCGGAUAGGAGCUCCUGCUGCAUGGUGGGGGUUGGAACGUUUCGGCGGUUGGGGAUGGACUCGCGGCUUAUCAGCUUGUUGGUGGGGUAGUGGCUUACCAAGGCUUUGGCGGGUAGCCGGCCUGAGGGGGUGACCGGCCACAUGGGGACUGAGAUACGGCCCAGUCGCCUACGGGAGGCAGCAGUGGGGAAUAUUGCACAAUGGGCGGAAGCCUGAUGCAGCAACGCCGCGUGCGGGAUGACGGCCUUCGGGUUGUAAACCGCUUUCGCCUGUGACGAAGCGUGAGUGACGGUAAUGGGUAAAGAAGCACCGGCUAACUACGUG
RNAcentral lists this ribosomal RNA (468 nucleotides) under uncultured bacterium. RNAcentral's name for it is "partial 16S ribosomal RNA". It matches the Rfam family "Bacterial small subunit ribosomal RNA", at positions 28 to 507 of the family's 1533-position model. The record is from RNAcentral.